UUGACCUCAAAUCAGGUAGGACUACCCGCUGAACUUAAGCAUAUCAAUAAGCGGAGGAAAAGAAACUAACAAGGAUUCCCCUAGUAACUGCGAGUGAAGAGGGAAAAGCUCAAAUUUGAAAUCUGGCAGGUCCCCUUACAUCUGUCCGAGUUGUAGUUUAGAGAAGUGCUAUCCGCGCUGGGCCUGUGCAUAAGUUUCUUUGGAACAGAACAUCAUAGAGGGUGAUAAUCCCGUCUUUGGCACAGGAUACAACCAGGGCUUUUGUGAUGCACCCUCGAAGAGUCGAGUUGUUUGGGAAUGCAGCUCUAAAUGGGUGGUAAAUUCCAUCUAAAGCUAAAUAUUGGCGAGAGACCGAUAGCGAACAAGUACCGCGAGGGAAAGAUGAAAAGAACUUUGAAAAGAGAGUUAAACAGUACGUGAAAUUGUUGAAAGGGAAACGCUUGAAGUCAGUCGCAUCUUGCAGAGAUCAACUCGACCCUUUCGUCGAGUGUAUUCCCUGUUGAGAUGGGUCAGCAUCAAUUUUGAUCGCUGGAUAAAGGCCUCGGGAAUGUGGCAUCCUUCGGGAUGUGUUAUAGACCAGGGUCAAUACAGUGGUUGGGAUUGAGGAACUCAGCGUGGCUUGAGGCAAUUUAUUGCCUACAC
RNAcentral lists this ribosomal RNA (642 nucleotides) under uncultured fungus. RNAcentral's name for it is "eukaryotic LSU rRNA". It matches the Rfam family "Eukaryotic large subunit ribosomal RNA", at positions 1 to 620 of the family's 3401-position model. Lineage: Eukaryota; Fungi. The record is from RNAcentral.